This 401-nucleotide ribosomal RNA is filed under the name bacterium. Its description in RNAcentral is "partial 16S ribosomal RNA". It matches the Rfam family "Bacterial small subunit ribosomal RNA", at positions 355 to 776 of the family's 1533-position model. The record is from RNAcentral.
UGGGGAAUUUUGCACAAUGGGGGAAACCCUGAUGCAGCGACGCCGCGUGAUUUAGAAGGCCUUCGGGUUGUAAAAUCUUUUCUAUGGGAAGAAAAUGACAGUACCAUAGGAAUAAGGACCGGCUAAUUACGUGCCAGCAGCCGCGGUAAUACGUAAGGUCCGAGCGUUGUCCGGAAUCAUUGGGCGUAAAGGGUACGUAGGCGGGUAAGCAAGUUAGAAGUGAAAUCCUAUAGCUCAACUAUAGUAAGCUUUUAAAACUGCUCAUCUUGAGGUAUGGAAGGGAAAGUGGAAUUCCUAGUGUAGCGGUGAAAUGCGCAGAUAUUAGGAGGAAUACCGGUGGCGAAGGCGACUUUCUGGCCAUAACCUGACGCUGAGGUACGAAAGCGUGGGUAGCAAACAGG